RNAcentral lists this ribosomal RNA (2304 nucleotides) under Shigella flexneri. RNAcentral's name for it is "partial 23S ribosomal RNA". It matches the Rfam family "Bacterial large subunit ribosomal RNA", at positions 1 to 2330 of the family's 2925-position model. Lineage: Bacteria; Pseudomonadati; Pseudomonadota; Gammaproteobacteria; Enterobacterales; Enterobacteriaceae. The record is from RNAcentral. RNAcentral also lists the same sequence under 1 other name.
GGUUAAGCGACUAAGCGUACACGGUGGAUGCCCUGGCAGUCAGAGGCGAUGAAGGACGUGCUAAUCUGCGAUAAGCGUCGGUAAGGUGAUAUGAACCGUUAUAACCGGCGAUUUCCGAAUGGGGAAACCCAGUGUGAUUCGUCACACUAUCAUUAACUGAAUCCAUAGGUUAAUGAGGCGAACCGGGGGAACUGAAACAUCUAAGUACCCCGAGGAAAAGAAAUCAACCGAGAUUCCCCCAGUAGCGGCGAGCGAACGGGGAGCAGCCCAGAGCCUGAAUCAGUGUGUGUGUUAGUGGAAGCGUCUGGAAAGGCGUGCGAUACAGGGUGACAGCCCCGUACACAAAAAUGCACAUACUGUGAGCUCGAUGAGUAGGGCGGGACACGUGGUAUCCUGUCUGAAUAUGGGGGGACCAUCCUCCAAGGCUAAAUACUCCUGACUGACCGAUAGUGAACCAGUACCGUGAGGGAAAGGCGAAAAGAACCCCGGCGAGGGGAGUGAAAAAGAACCUGAAACCGUGUACGUACAAGCAGUGGGAGCACGCUUAGGCGUGUGACUGCGUACCUUUUGUAUAAUGGGUCAGCGACUUAUAUUCUGUAGCAAGGUUAACCGAAUAGGGGAGCCGAAGGGAAACCGAGUCUUAACUGGGCGUUAAGUUGCAGGGUAUAGACCCGAAACCCGGUGAUCUAGCCAUGGGCAGGUUGAAGGUUGGGUAACACUAACUGGAGGACCGAACCGACUAAUGUUGAAAAAUUAGCGGAUGACUUGUGGCUGGGGGUGAAAGGCCAAUCAAACCGGGAGAUAGCUGGUUCUCCCCGAAAGCUAUUUAGGUAGCGCCUCGUGAAUUCAUCUCCGGGGGUAGAGCACUGUUUCGGCAAGGGGGUCAUCCCGACUUACCAACCCGAUGCAAACUGCGAAUACCGGAGAAUGUUAUCACGGGAGACACACGGCGGGUGCUAACGUCCGUCGUGAAGAGGGAAACAACCCAGACCGCCAGCUAAGGUCCCAAAGUCAUGGUUAAGUGGGAAACGAUGUGGGAAGGCCCAGACAGCCAGGAUGUUGGCUUAGAAGCAGCCAUCAUUUAAAGAAAGCGUAAUAGCUCACUGGUCGAGUCGGCCUGCGCGGAAGAUGUAACGGGGCUAAACCAUGCACCGAAGCUGCGGCAGCGACGCUUAUGCGUUGUUGGGUAGGGGAGCGUUCUGUAAGCCUGUGAAGGUGUGCUGUGAGGUAUGCUGGAGGUAUCAGAAGUGCGAAUGCUGACAUAAGUAACGAUAAAGCGGGUGAAAAGCCCGCUCGCCGGAAGACCAAGGGUUCCUGUCCAACGUUAAUCGGGGCAGGGUGAGUCGACCCCUAAGGCGAGGCCGAAAGGCGUAGUCGAUGGGAAACAGGUUAAUAUUCCUGUACUUGGUGUUACUGCGAAGGGGGGACGGAGAAGGCUAUGUUGGCCGGGCGACGGUUGUCCCGGUUUAAGCGUGUAGGCUGGUUUUCCAGGCAAAUCCGGAAAAUCAAGGCCGAGGCGUGAUGACGAGGCACUACGGUGCUGAAGCAACAAAUGCCCUGCUUCCAGGAAAAGCCUCUAAGCAUCAGGUAACAUCAAAUCGUACCCCAAACCGACACAGGUGGUCAGGUAGAGAAUACCAAGGCGCUUGAGAGAACUCGGGUGAAGGAACUAGGCAAAAUGGUGCCGUAACUUCGGGAGAAGGCACGCUGAUACGUAGGUGAAGCGACUUGCUCGUGGAGCUGAAAUCAGUCGAAGAUACCAGCUGGCUGCAACUGUUUAUUAAAAACACAGCACUGUGCAAACACGAAAGUGGACGUAUACGGUGUGACGCCUGCCCGGUGCCGGAAGGUUAAUUGAUGGGGUUAGCGCAAGCGAAGCUCUUGAUCGAAGCCCCGGUAAACGGCGGCCGUAACUAUAACGGUCCUAAGGUAGCGAAAUUCCUUGUCGGGUAAGUUCCGACCUGCACGAAUGGCGUAAUGAUGGCCAGGCUGUCUCCACCCGAGACUCAGUGAAAUUGAACUCGCUGUGAAGAUGCAGUGUACCCGCGGCAAGACGGAAAGACCCCGUGAACCUUUACUAUAGCUUGACACUGAACAUUGAGCCUUGAUGUGUAGGAUAGGUGGGAGGCUUUGAAGUGUGGACGCCAGUCUGCAUGGAGCCGACCUUGAAAUACCACCCUUUAAUGUUUGAUGUUCUAACGUGGACCCGUGAUCCGGGUUGCGGACAGUGUCUGGUGGGUAGUUUGACUGGGGCGGUCUCCUCCUAAAGAGUAACGGAGGAGCACGAAGGUUGGCUAAUCCUGG